This 73-nucleotide transfer RNA is filed under the name Gemmatimonas sp. It matches the Rfam family "tRNA". From Rfam's summary of the family: Transfer RNA (tRNA) molecules are approximately 80 nucleotides in length. RNAcentral also lists the same sequence under 9 other names. The record is from Rfam by way of RNAcentral. Lineage: Bacteria; Pseudomonadati; Gemmatimonadota; Gemmatimonadia; Gemmatimonadales; Gemmatimonadaceae.
GCGGGCAUAGCUCAGUUGGUAGAGCGCAACCUUGCCAAGGUUGAGGUCGCCGGUUCGAGCCCGGUUGCCCGCU